CGCCCGCCCCGCUCCGCAGGGGCAGAGGGGGAGGGGACGAAGCUGUCCGCCGCCAUUUUGCUUGUGGGCUGCCGCCCGCCGUUACCUCUCCACCGCGGCUAGAAGACAGCCAACUGGAGGCAGAGCGGUGGACAGAAUCUCCGUCUAUUUCACAACAGAUGCAUUCAACAAUUCACCGAAGUCUGGCCUCUAGCGCGGGAUGAACUCGGUUGGGGUGUCACUCGACGCCCACUAGGGGCUGAGGCGGUUCCAGUGCGCAGGCUCCGAGCACCGGAUAAAAGCGGAGCUGGCGAGUCCAGCGCCGUCUCGAUGGAGGAGCGAGAAACGGAAGAGGUCGGGGGGAGAAGCAGCAGGAAAAAUACAGCCACCGUCAGCGCCGCCUCCCUGCCACCGUGUAUCGGGGAGACCUUCUCUAGUUUUCCUGCAUUGACAGACUUGGACUUUGGUGCUUAACAUCACUACCUCCUAGAUUCCCCAAGAGCCCAGUUACCUGAAGAAAGCACUGGGUGCUUCUGACUCCGUGAAUGCCUCUGGAGUCUUUGGUCUUGUAUGUAAU
This 556-nucleotide long non-coding RNA is filed under the name Balaenoptera musculus (blue whale). RNAcentral describes it as "lncRNA (ENSBMSG00010006013.1)". The record is from RNAcentral. Lineage: Eukaryota; Metazoa; Chordata; Mammalia; Artiodactyla; Balaenopteridae.